GAUGAACGCUAGCGGCAGGCUUAAUACAUGCAAGUCGAGGGGCAGCAGGUCUGUAGCAAUACAGAUGCUGGCGACCGGCAAACGGGUGCGGAACACGUACACAACCUUCCUUUAAGUGGGGAAUAGCCCAGGGAAACUUGGAUUAAUACCCCGUAAAUUAUGAAGUGGCAUCACUUUAUAAUUAAAGCUCAGGCGCUUAAUGAUGGGUGUGCGGCUGAUUAGGUAGUUGGCGGGGAACGGCCCACCAAGCCUGCGAUCAGUAACUGGUGUGAGAGCACGACCAGUCACACGGGCACUGAGACACGGGCCCGACUCCUACGGGAGGCAGCAGUAAGGAAUAUUGGUCAAUGGACGCAAGUCUGAACCAGCCAUGCCGCGUGGAGGAUGAAGGUCCUCUGGAUU
Molecule: ribosomal RNA, 402 nt
Filed under: uncultured bacterium
Lineage: Bacteria
Description: bacterial SSU rRNA
Rfam family: Bacterial small subunit ribosomal RNA
Source: RNAcentral